Molecule: long non-coding RNA, 152 nt
Organism: Perognathus longimembris pacificus (Pacific pocket mouse)
Lineage: Eukaryota; Metazoa; Chordata; Mammalia; Rodentia; Heteromyidae
Exons: 2
Source: RefSeq, a predicted model, not a curated record
CUACCUGGGCUGGCUUUGAACUGCAAUCCUCAGACCUCAGCCUCCUGAGUAGCUAGGAUUACAGGUGUGAGCCACUGAGCAUCCUGACCCUCUACCUUCUGAAAGAUUCAAAUUUUGCCUUGCUCUGGUGAAUGACUAGAAAUUACAGAAGG